Molecule: unclassified non-coding RNA, 2747 nt
Filed under: Hevea brasiliensis (rubber tree)
Lineage: Eukaryota; Viridiplantae; Streptophyta; Magnoliopsida; Malpighiales; Euphorbiaceae
Source: RNAcentral
UUAGGUCCUAUGACAUUCACUUUGCUGAAAAAUAUUCUCACUCCUUAUUUGAAGUGAUUCUUGAUUCCCUUACAGUAGUCAAAGGAGAGGAAAGGGAUGGGAGGGGAGGCAAAGGGGCAGAAUAACUAAAAAAGAUUACAAACUUCCCAAAGUUUUAACUUUUUACCUUCUUAAUCAAUAAGCCAAUAUAACACCGUUUCAACAAUUCCGCUCUCCCUUAGAGAUAGAAUGGAAAAUUUGGUGAAAGAUAUUAAAAAAGUAAUGAUUUCUAACUCUUGAAUUUUUCCCUCCCAAAAAAAAAAAAAGAAUAUUGGGGCGUGGGGAGAAAUAAACAUUCAGAAUAGUUGUUGCUUAUGGACUUCAGCAACAUUUAAUCUGGUCACUUAAUUUAACACAAGAUCAUUAUAUCACAUACUAUGAAUCACAAAGAUGCAUCUUGUGCAAUUCCAUGGAUCUAUAAGCAUUAAGAUAACAAAAGUCACAAACCAUGCGACAGAUAGCACUUUUUGGGUGUACUAGGAAUUGCAAUAGGCAUAUUUGCAUGAUGAAACUUGGCAGGAUAGUACCAGCAUAAAUACCCUGUCCUGUUCCCAACACUCCCUCUUCCAUUUUCUCCCCCAAAAAAAAACGAACAAAGGAAAGAAAAAAGAGGAACUCAAGGAAAUCUGCAUAAUUGCUGGGAACGCAUUUCGAUAUGCCUCUUAUGCUUUCUCAAUGCAAGAAUCUUGCUACAAGAAUGACACUAUUCACAAGAGGCCACAGAAAAAAUAUGCUCAUCCUCAUAUUACUUUGAUGCAGAUCAAUAAUACAAAAUUUCACAUCUCAAUAAAAAAAUUAAUUCCCUAAAAGAACGGUAAAAUUUAGAAAUCAUUGAUAACGGAAGGAAUCUACAGAGGGUGAAAGUAAUAACUAUUUUUUCUUGUUCAAAUCUUAACUUGAGGCCAACAAGCAACAAUGUCACUUUUAUAGAGCUUUUCUCCUAGAGAAAAAAAGAAGAUAAAAUUGAUAAUUUAAGUAAAAAUGGAAAUAGGCAAAGAUCCCAAUCCACUCCAAUACUAUGGAAGAUAUUUCUGAAAGCUUAAUUUUUUUAGUACUGACUAUAUGCAUGAAAACAAAAGCUUCUCUUCCUGAAAAGAACAUCAGAAGAAAAAUUUGUUGUUCAAGAUAUGCAUCAAACAGUAAAAUAGAUAGAUAAAAGAUGUCCAAAAAUAGAUGCAACUUCAGUACAUUUAUAUGUUUGCCAUGUAAAUGGUGUAUAUCCAACAUCCAUUCACUUACAGAACCCAAAAGAUUUGACAAUGUAAAAGAAAGAGAAAUUAUUAAGCUAUGUUGCCUAUAGAGUAGCCGACCAGUAAUGACAGUUUUGGAUGCACAAAUGCAGGAAGAGCUCAUAUACAAUGAUGAUGACGAGCAUAAACAAGAGAGACCAAUCAACAUAUUUGAAAAGGAAUAAGCAGAAUAUAAAUAGGGCUAUUAAACAAGAUGAGUGGUUAAGGUGGCUUAAAAUAUUAGUAGCAGAUGACAAAAAUUCAUGCAUUUCCAUUCAAACAUCCCAUAUGUUCAACUAAAACUAAGACCAAGCAUAUCUACCAAAGAAACCCUAUCUAUAAUAAUUUCACUGAGACCAGGAAAACGGUGUGACCAAGUAAUAGAUUGACCAGUCACAUCCAAUCACGAGAUACAUGAAUAUUUCAAAUUCUAGUCUACUUGCAAAAGUUUUACGAGUUAAACCCCUCCACCAGAUAAGUUAUCCAUCUCAAAGAGCUAAGGACAAUAAUACGCAGCAGAACUAUACAAUUUUGAAAAGAUCAAACAUGAUUAAAAUAUAUUGUCAGGCUCACAAUACCAUAGCAAUCAUUAUUAAUGCAUUUACCACUAAAGUCACAUAAUGGAAUUUAUGAAUUAGGGAAUAUAAUGUGAAUGCCACUUCUAAGUUCUAAUCAUCCAAGUUAUCAAUAUUUAAAAACAAAAAUAAAAUAAAAUAAAGUAGAGAAAAGAUGGCCCAUAGUCCAAAUCAAUCCAUGCAAACAAAUAGACUAUAAUCACAAAUGCUAGAUAUUCUCUGCUUUAUAUAACCAAAAACAAAUGAGAUGCAUCUCUCUAAUCAAUUCAAAUGUUCAAUUUCACUAACUCUUAGGACGAAAUGGAAAUGGUGAUAAAAAUUGCCUUGCAAAGUUAACAAUUCCCAGGAAGCCAAUUAAACAGAGCAGAGAGUCAAAAUUCUGACCUUUUGGCCACUCAGUAACUAUUCUCUCCUUGAGCAUAGCCACAGUGGAGGCCGGUGAGUACCUGAAUGGACCAAUAUCCGAUCCAUCAUACAAUCUAAACUUAAGCUCUACCAGGUCCUCCUCCGGCAUUUCGGCUUGUAUCGCUACCUGUUCAAAUUGAACUAAAAAUCCUCAACCACCAAAGUUCUCUUCAGAACCUAACCUUCCAAUAAUUUCUAUCCAAUCUCCACGCUCCUCCAGGAGUAGUUGCAGUUCUCUAGGGUUUAUGACAGCCACACAGAGAGUAAGAGAUAAAUCAGAGAAGAAACCCUAAGGCCAGACCCGAUCUCGACGCUAUAUAAUUUUUUGCAGGAAGUAUCUAAUGGGUCAUUACCCUUCGCCUUUUCAAUUUUUCUAUUCUUCAGAGAGAGAGAGAGUUCACUUUUCUAUUUUAUUUAUUUUCUUGAGAAAGUGAGAGAACUUAAAACUAUAAUUCUACCAGUAAAUAAACAGUUCCAGCACAAAGAUGCACUGGAGUUU